This is a long non-coding RNA of Triticum dicoccoides, 1709 nucleotides long. RefSeq lists it as uncharacterized. NCBI's taxonomy places the organism in Eukaryota, Viridiplantae, Streptophyta, Magnoliopsida, Poales, Poaceae. The transcript has 5 exons. The record is from RefSeq and is a predicted model, not a curated record.
CUGUGUCGAGAGCGCCGCCACAUUGACCCAAACCAGCGGCGGCGCAGCUCGUCCAUCGUCCUGCUGUCGGUGCCCUGCUCAAGCCAUCGCCACUGCAGUAGGGCGCCGCUGCCGCCGUUGCAGACUUGACCUCCCGCGGCUACCGCCGCCGCGGCCGCCGGCGGGGGCGGGGGCUUUGACGGACCUGCCUCCCUCGACAGCUUCGGGCGGAGGAGGCGGAGGGCUCCGUCGCCGCGACCCUCGCCCGACCUUGCCACCCUGGACGGAUUCUACCCUGCCUCCUCGACCAAGACCAACCCGCCUCAGCUGUAGACGCGUGCUUCAAGUUCAGAAAUCAGAACCAAGGUUCAGUGAGGCUUUUGGUCCUUUGACGCCUGCACCGUGCUGCCAGCUUUUCCAGUUAUUCAACCAUGUCUCUAGAAGAACAACGUAGUUGGAUGUACAGUGGGUGGAAUGAACAGGGGCACCAUUCUGAAGAGUGGGUGCGCAACACAACAGCUUUUCUUGACCAUGCUUUUCAGAUUAUGCCUAAUGCUGACCGGUUUGGUGUGAAGUGCCCAUGCACAAAGUGUCGUAAUGGAGUCAGGCGGAAGAAACAACUAGUCAGAGUGCACCUUUGUCAGUAUGGUUUCAUGCCAAAUUACACCAGAUGGACAUCGCACGGCGAGCGUCCAAUAGUUGGUACAACCAGAAUGGAAGAGGAUAUUCACACUAGUAAUGAACCGCUAGUUGAUAUUCACACUAAUAAUGAACCGCUAGUUGAUAUCCAGAAGGAAGAGAGGUAUCUAAGAUUGAGGCAUGGAUAUACACACAUAGAGGAAAAGAUCCAAAGAAUCCUGAUGUGUUAAAUAGCGUUGAAGCCACGGAAUGCUUGGAUUCAUACAAAGAGAAGGUUGUAAGCAUGCGUAGUGAGGACUAUGAUUGGAAGCAUUCUCCUGUUGAACCACAAGCCCUUUAUGAAGCUGGUGGUGGGAAGCCGCACGGAAAGUGGCCACUAUUGAAUGGUGUUGUGGAGGGUAAAGAGGCUCUUAAGGAGGUGCAGAUCAAACGCUCUUCAUCUUCGUCAAAGCGCCAACGACUAGAACAUGAUAAAAGGAUUGUAACGAGUUAAUGAAAAGACAUGCACAAAGUAUGGUUGAUUGGGGGAAAUCUGUGCAGACUACAGUGGAGAGUAGCCUUGGUGGUGUGCACAAGUUUCUAAUGACCAUCGCAUCCCUUCAAGGAAUUCCAGGGCCUGAGAUUCCAUGCAUUGUUAUACCCCCACCUCCAGCUUUUCCAACUUUAACCACUUCGUCUCCGAUCUUUUCUCCAGAAAUGCCCUCCACCGGCGAAUCAACAAAUGAUGCUGAAAAUAUAGAUAAUACAUUGCAUGGAGCGGAAGAUGGAAUGUUUGGCGGCUUUUUUGAUGCAAAUGGUCAUGAUGCGAAUGGUGUUGUUGGUGGAACUUUCCCCCCACCUGGUGAUGAUUUACCUACAUUUUGAGAUAUCUCUUAUCAUGGGAAGGAAGUGGUCUGAACUUUUUUUGUUGAUUAAUUGGAAGCAAAUGGACAAUUAUCCUUUUGGCCAUGCACUUGGUUAUGGUUGUGAUGUCUUGGAUCAGCGACUUAUAUGAUGCAUGUUGUAUCAUUCCAGGCUACUAAUUGGCAAUCCUAGGUAGAUGACAUUUUGUGAGUUCUAGGUACUGAGCUAGAUGCCAUCUUUUAUAAAGA